GAUGAACGCUGGCGGCGUGCCUAAUACAUGCAAGUCGAGCGAACAGACGAGGAGCUUGCUCCUCUGACGUUAGCGGCGGACGGGUGAGUAACACGUGGAUAACCUACCUAUAAGACUGGGAUAACUUCGGGAAACCGGAGCUAAUACCGGAUAAUAUAUUGAACCGCAUGGUUCAAUAGUGAAAGACGGUUUUGCUGUCACUUAUAGAUGGAUCCGCGCCGCAUUAGCUAGUUGGUAAGGUAACGGCUUACCAAGGCAACGAUGCGUAGCCGACCUGAGAGGGUGAUCGGCCACACUGGAACUGAGACACGGUCCAGACUCCUACGGGAGGCAGCAGUAGGGAAUCGUCCGCAAUGGGCGAAAGCCUGACGGAGCAACGCCGCGUGAGUGAUGAAGGUCUUCGGAUCGUAAAACUCUGUUAUUAGUGAAGAACAAAUGUGUAAGUAACUAUGCACGUCUUGACGGUACCUAAUCAGAAAGCCACGGCUAACUACGUG
This 497-nucleotide ribosomal RNA is filed under the name uncultured bacterium. Its description in RNAcentral is "partial 16S ribosomal RNA". It matches the Rfam family "Bacterial small subunit ribosomal RNA", at positions 28 to 507 of the family's 1533-position model. The record is from RNAcentral.